Molecule: ribosomal RNA, 383 nt
Filed under: uncultured bacterium
Lineage: Bacteria
Description: bacterial SSU rRNA
Rfam family: Bacterial small subunit ribosomal RNA
Source: RNAcentral
GGCUUCCCUUCGGGGCAGGAUCACAGGUGGUGCAUGGCUGUCGUCAGCUCGUGUCGUGAGAUGUUGGGUUAAGUCCCGCAACGAGCGCAACCCCCGUCGCAUGUUGCCAGCAUUAAGUUGGGGACUCAUGCGAGACUGCCGGUGACAAACCGGAGGAAGGUGGGGAUGACGUCAAGUCAUCAUGGCCUUUAUGGCCAGGGCUACACACGUGCUACAAUGGUAGGUACAGAGGGAAGCCAACCGGUGACGGGGAGCCAAUCCCAGAAAGCCUAUCGUAGUCCGGAUUGGAGUCUGCAACUCGACUCCAUAAAGUCGGAAUCGCUAGUAAUCGCAGAUCAGCAUUGCUGCGGUGAAUACGUUCCCGGGUCUUGUACACACCGCCU